This 253-nucleotide ribosomal RNA is filed under the name uncultured bacterium. Its description in RNAcentral is "partial 16S ribosomal RNA". It matches the Rfam family "Bacterial small subunit ribosomal RNA", at positions 524 to 776 of the family's 1533-position model. The record is from RNAcentral.
UACGUAGGGUGCGAGCGUUGUCCGGAAUUAUUGGGCGUAAAGGGCUCGUAGGCGGUCUGUCGCGUCGGGAGUGAAAACUCAGGGCUUAACCCUGAGCCUGCUUCCGAUACGGGCAGACUAGAGGUAUGCAGGGGAGAACGGAAUUCCUGGUGUAGCGGUGAAAUGCGCAGAUAUCAGGAGGAACACCGGUGGCGAAGGCGGGUCUCUGGGCCGUAACUGACGCUGAGGAGCGAAAGCGUGGGGAGCGAACAGG